Molecule: long non-coding RNA, 1046 nt
Filed under: Triticum aestivum (bread wheat)
Lineage: Eukaryota; Viridiplantae; Streptophyta; Magnoliopsida; Poales; Poaceae
Description: long non-coding RNA (TAES_LNC020925)
Source: RNAcentral
AAUACAAUUCUAGCAUAAAUAAUAAACAUUUAUCAUGAAAUAAGGAAAUAAAUAAUAACUUUAUUAUUGCCUCUAGGGCAUAUUUCCUUCAGCUGCCCCUUGGCGAACCGAGAUCACCAACUAGUCUAGCAGACCCUCAUCAUGCACCACAUGCGUACGCUCCAGCUUCUGCCACCGCCACUUCUGCAGUCCCAAACUCAGGAGAGAUCCACGCAUUGACCUUCCCAGGGCCAACUGCCAUCGACGCCAGACAACGCCACCACCCUACGCGUGUCAAUCAACACAUGUCCAUUGCCUAGACCCCGCAGCGCCAUGCCGCCUAGACCCGUUGUCAUUGAUGCAAUAGAUGCCACACCGCACCACCUCCGGCACCGGGAACCAUCCAAGCUCGCCGUGCACACCUUCUAGCUCAAUGCCCAAGACGACGCCUCCAAGAAGGUGACGACGCCAUGGCGCCGCUACCGCCCAUUCACGGGGGACUAGGGUUUUCACCUGGGCACAGAGGGAGGAGUGAGCAGGGGGUUGACCUCACCGUCGCCACCAAGGAGGGGAAACGACCAGAGCACCAUCAACGACGUGGCCGGCUGCGGCGGUUAGAGGUGUCCACUGGACAAGCUCUCACCCCAUCACCCACCUGGUUCGCCAUCAACACCUUCGAGCACGGACGCCCGAGAUUUGGAUUAGCCAAUGGGGAGAACCGCGCGCUAGGAUGGUCCACCGCAGAUCUGACGAGAGGCGCACGGGGAACCACCUCACUCCACGACCGUCUUCCACCGGGGUCCUGCUGCCCAAGAAGCUAAGGAAGUCUGACCGACCGCUGUGACGAACGCCCAUCACCGAUGGAAGGACGCCGCCCACACCAAUCGAGGCCACCGCUUCAGAUCCAGGCCCUCACCUGACCCGAGGCAGAGGAGCAACCAAAGGCCUCGCCGCCACUGUCCCUUGCAGGAGCGGGGAUCCGGCGACUGCCUUCGGCGGCGGCGAGGGAGGAGGAAGGAGGGGAGGGAACCGAUGGCGGACGGAGUUGGGGCCCCGGUGCACCUCCC